This 441-nucleotide ribosomal RNA is filed under the name uncultured bacterium. RNAcentral's name for it is "bacterial SSU rRNA". It matches the Rfam family "Bacterial small subunit ribosomal RNA", at positions 30 to 471 of the family's 1533-position model. The record is from RNAcentral.
AUUGAACGCUGGCGGCAUGCCUUACACAUGCAAGUCGAACGGCAGCACGGGAGCAAUCCUGGUGGCGAGUGGCGAACGGGUGAGUAAUAUAUCGGAACGUGCCCAGUCGUGGGGAUAACGUAGCGAAAGCUACGCUAAUACCGCAUACGAUCUAUGGAUGAAAGCGGGGGAUCGCAAGACCUCGCGCGAUUGGAGCGGCCGAUAUCAGAUUAGGUAGUUGGUGGGGUAAAGGCUCACCAAGCCAACGAUCUGUAGCUGGUCUGAGAGGACGACCAGCCACACUGGAACUGAGACACGGUCCAGACUCCUACGGGAGGCAGCAGUGGGGAAUUUUGGACAAUGGGCGCAAGCCUGAUCCAGCAAUGCCGCGUGCAGGAUGAAGGCCUUCGGUUGUAAACGUGCUUUGUUACGGAACGAAACGGUGAGCUCUAAUACAGUUUG